RNAcentral lists this ribosomal RNA (460 nucleotides) under uncultured bacterium. RNAcentral describes it as "partial 16S ribosomal RNA". It matches the Rfam family "Bacterial small subunit ribosomal RNA", at positions 338 to 795 of the family's 1533-position model. The record is from RNAcentral.
CCUACGGGUGGCAGCAGUGAGGAAUAUUGGUCAAUGGGCGGAAGCCUGAACCAGCCAAGUCGCGUGAGGGAAUAAGGCCCUACGGGUCGUAAACCUCUUUUGCCGGGGAGCAAGGGCGGGGACGUGUCCCGGCCCGGAGAGUACCCGGAGAAAAAGCAUCGGCUAACUCCGUGCCAGCAGCGGCGGUAAUACGGAGGAUGCUAGCGUUAUCCGGAUUUAUUGGGUUUAAAGGGUGCGCAGGCGGACUUUUAAGUCAGCGGUAAAAGUUCGGGGCUCAACCCCGUUCGGCCGUUGAAACUGGGUGCCUUGAGUGGGCGAGAAGUAUGCGGAAUGCGUGGUGUAGCGGUGAAAUGCAUAGAUAUCACGCAGAACCCCGAUUGCGAAGGCAGCAUACCGGCGCCCGACUGACGCUGAGGCACGAAAGUGCGGGUAUCGAACAGGAUUAGAUACCCUAGUAGUC